AUAGCAUCUGCCCUGUGACACAGAAACCCCAUCUGCUGUGGUUAGGAUGUGAGGCUUCCCCCAAAAUCUCAUGUGUGAAUCUAUGCAAGAAGGUCCAGAGGUGAAGUGAUAGGAUUCUGAGAGCCUUAACCUAGUCAGUGCAUUAAUCCCCUGAUAAGGAUUAACUGGGUGUGGUUGGAGGGGUGGGUCCCUGGAGGCAUGCCAUUGAGUUUUAUAUCUGUGAGCUGAGUUUAGCUCUCUGUCUGCUUCCUGAUCAUCAUGUUCUGAGCUGCUUUCCUGCACUGUACACUUCUGCCAUAAUGUUCUACCUCAUCUGAGGCCCAGAGCAAUGGAGUCAGCAUUAUAUGGACUGAGACCUCUGAAACUAUGAGCCCCCAAAUAAACAUUUUCUCCUAAAAUUGUUCUUAUCAGGCCUUUUUUUUUGUCACAGCAGUUAAAAAGCUGACUAAAACAGAAUUGGAACUGGGAGUGGGGCUGUUGCUGUGACUCACCUGACCAGGUGGUUCAGAAGUUUUUGAAGCUUUGGAAUUUGUGGGAGGAAUUUUGUAAAGUUUAGAGGUACAAACUGGUGAUUCUGCUGAGAGUUCAGAAGACCAGCAUGUGGAUAGGACUGUGGACAGUAAAGAGGUUUCAGAGGAAAAGGAGGACUCUUGUGAAAAUCGGACUAGAGGUCAUUUCUGGUUUAGAAGUUGACUGCAUUUUACCCAUGUCCUGAGACUUUCUGUGAGACUGAAUUUAAAGGCAAUGGACUUCUUAAUCUGGUAGAAGAAAUUUAAGCAGCAGAGUAUUCAGGCUGUGGCACGGGUACUAGUGGUAGCUCUUAGCCAAACUUAUUGUGGUAUUCAGGACCAGAAAGCAGAGCAGAAAGAUUUGAAAUACUGGGACUUGAAAGGUGGGAGUAAAACUGGGGCUAAGAAAAUUGCAGCUGUUAAAGACAUUACCACUAUUGGGGCUGGGAUUGUGGCUCAGUGGUAGAGCACUCGCCUAGCACAUGUGAGGCCCUGGGUUCGAUCCUCAGCACCAC
RNAcentral lists this long non-coding RNA (1024 nucleotides) under Marmota monax (woodchuck). The stretch from base 955 to 1023 matches the Rfam family "tRNA". Lineage: Eukaryota; Metazoa; Chordata; Mammalia; Rodentia; Sciuridae. The record is from RNAcentral.